RNAcentral lists this ribosomal RNA (1525 nucleotides) under Acinetobacter baumannii NIPH 335. RNAcentral describes it as "bacterial SSU rRNA". It matches the Rfam family "Bacterial small subunit ribosomal RNA". Lineage: Bacteria; Pseudomonadati; Pseudomonadota; Gammaproteobacteria; Moraxellales; Moraxellaceae. The record is from RNAcentral.
AGAGUUUGAUCAUGGCUCAGAUUGAACGCUGGCGGCAGGCUUAACACAUGCAAGUCGAGCGGGGGAAGGUAGCUUGCUACUGGACCUAGCGGCGGACGGGUGAGUAAUGCUUAGGAAUCUGCCUAUUAGUGGGGGACAACAUCUCGAAAGGGAUGCUAAUACCGCAUACGUCCUACGGGAGAAAGCAGGGGAUCUUCGGACCUUGCGCUAAUAGAUGAGCCUAAGUCGGAUUAGCUAGUUGGUGGGGUAAAGGCCUACCAAGGCGACGAUCUGUAGCGGGUCUGAGAGGAUGAUCCGCCACACUGGGACUGAGACACGGCCCAGACUCCUACGGGAGGCAGCAGUGGGGAAUAUUGGACAAUGGGGGGAACCCUGAUCCAGCCAUGCCGCGUGUGUGAAGAAGGCCUUAUGGUUGUAAAGCACUUUAAGCGAGGAGGAGGCUACUUUAGUUAAUACCUAGAGAUAGUGGACGUUACUCGCAGAAUAAGCACCGGCUAACUCUGUGCCAGCAGCCGCGGUAAUACAGAGGGUGCGAGCGUUAAUCGGAUUUACUGGGCGUAAAGCGUGCGUAGGCGGCUUAUUAAGUCGGAUGUGAAAUCCCCGAGCUUAACUUGGGAAUUGCAUUCGAUACUGGUGAGCUAGAGUAUGGGAGAGGAUGGUAGAAUUCCAGGUGUAGCGGUGAAAUGCGUAGAGAUCUGGAGGAAUACCGAUGGCGAAGGCAGCCAUCUGGCCUAAUACUGACGCUGAGGUACGAAAGCAUGGGGAGCAAACAGGAUUAGAUACCCUGGUAGUCCAUGCCGUAAACGAUGUCUACUAGCCGUUGGGGCCUUUGAGGCUUUAGUGGCGCAGCUAACGCGAUAAGUAGACCGCCUGGGGAGUACGGUCGCAAGACUAAAACUCAAAUGAAUUGACGGGGGCCCGCACAAGCGGUGGAGCAUGUGGUUUAAUUCGAUGCAACGCGAAGAACCUUACCUGGCCUUGACAUACUAGAAACUUUCCAGAGAUGGAUUGGUGCCUUCGGGAAUCUAGAUACAGGUGCUGCAUGGCUGUCGUCAGAUCGUGUCGUGAGAUGUUGGGUUAAGUCCCGCAACGAGCGCAACCCUUUUCCUUACUUGCCAGCAUUUCGGAUGGGAACUUUAAGGAUACUGCCAGUGACAAACUGGAGGAAGGCGGGGACGACGUCAAGUCAUCAUGGCCCUUACGGCCAGGGCUACACACGUGCUACAAUGGUCGGUACAAAGGGUUGCUACACAGCGAUGUGAUGCUAAUCUCAAAAAGCCGAUCGUAGUCCGGAUUGGAGUCUGCAACUCGACUCCAUGAAGUCGGAAUCGCUAGUAAUCGCGGAUCAGAAUGCCGCGGUGAAUACGUUCCCGGGCCUUGUACACACCGCCCGUCACACCAUGGGAGUUUGUUGCACCAGAAGUAGCUAGCCUAACUGCAAAGAGGGCGGUUACCACGGUGUGGCCGAUGACUGGGGUGAAGUCGUAACAAGGUAGCCGUAGGGGAACCUGCGGCUGGAUCACCU